Molecule: unclassified non-coding RNA, 1221 nt
Filed under: Bombus terrestris (buff-tailed bumblebee)
Lineage: Eukaryota; Metazoa; Arthropoda; Insecta; Hymenoptera; Apidae
Description: misc RNA ENSBTSG00005023982.1
Source: RNAcentral
GUUAAUUAUGACAAGAUUAUCUAGCGUGAAUCAAAAGAUAACGUACCUCCUCGCCACGUGAGAUUCUUCGCUUUGCAAAGAUUAUAAUUCUAAGAUCACGUUCAACCUCAACGAUUUCAGCGACACAAUUCGGGUUACAAGAGUGAUUGAUGUACCUUGCGAGACCACCACACAACGUGGCAUCGACCACUCUCUCUUCAUCCAAGCGAAACAUAUAAAUACCACGAUUCUGUAAUAAAUAUAUUUCUAAAAUUGCUUUCAACCAAAUUCUUAAUUCGCUUUUUUCGCCCCCUUAAGCAAAUCGCGCGCGGCAUAAAGUCCCAAACCUUGGAUCUUGGAGCGCGCCAGAUAUACGUUGUUCCGCCACUCUUGCUUCAUCUUUUUGUACUGAGAACUCUUCGAAUGCACAAAUUGUUUGGAAUAGGGGCACGCCACUUCGCCUGCGACAGUCGCAGUUGGAACAAAAGCUGCUCGGGCCGAUGAGCCUGUGCGCUGCGUGUGAGGCCUCUUCCAAGGGAGCUGAUUGCGAAGACGAGCUUCCGUUCUUGCGCUGCCGGUGGGAUUGAUCGCUAACGGUAAUUCUAAUAAGGGAUUUCGACCGUAUUUAAACCUGUAAUCGGUCAGAGUUUCAAUGCCUGGAAGACUUUCGAGAACACGGACGACCGCUGGUUCGGUAAGUCCAAACAAAUCUUCGCCGGAAACGUAACGCGGAAAUAGUUGGACGCUGUGCGUUGAUCUUCGUAGCUCAGCGAGAGGUUCGAGUAUCCUGCUCCAAACAGCGCGAGGAGUAGCGUCGCGAAGUUCAACAUCCUCUUGUAAAGGUUCUUGCACCAGGACGCGAAAUUCGGGUCGACCAGAAACGUCAUGGAUAGAACAGACGUAACGGCAACGUUUGUUUGGCCGUCUCAUGCUCCAAUAAAAUCUAACGAUUUUGUAUCCGACGGGGUAUAUGUAAUUUGGGGUAUGGAAGUUGGCAAGCUGGUGUGGAAGCAGUUGUCCGACGCUUAAAAAUAUCAGACUUCCAACUCUCAGCAGGUGAUUGUGUUCCGAAUGAUGCAUCACAGCUGCGACCUGUCUAUUCUCGUCACGAUUCACGUACACUCUUCUGUAUACGGAAAGCGUGGUUAAUUCGUUAUCUUUUUCGUUCUUUUGUACAUGCUGAGAGCAAUAGGUACUCUGAAAAUUAUAUUAAAUUUUUAUUUGAGUUUUAUAUUUCUUCAC